Non-coding RNA from Parelaphostrongylus tenuis, 73 nucleotides. Lineage: Eukaryota; Metazoa; Nematoda; Chromadorea; Rhabditida; Metastrongylidae. The record is from the annotation of a GenBank genome assembly.
GCCUCUGUGGUGUAGUGGUAGAGCACGCGUCCCCAAACAGGAUGAAACACGGGUUCGAUUCCUGUCUGGAGCU